This is an RNA transcript of Carlito syrichta (Philippine tarsier), 865 nucleotides long. It is a transcript of the gene named ribosomal protein S9, with no coding region annotated. The transcript is spliced from 5 exons. The record is from RefSeq and is a predicted model, not a curated record. Lineage: Eukaryota; Metazoa; Chordata; Mammalia; Primates; Tarsiidae.
UUGAGCAGGCGCAGACAGGCAAACGUCUCCAACAUGCCUGUGGCCCGGAGCUGGGUUUGUCGCAAAACCUACGUGACCCCGCGGAGACCCUUUGAGAAAUCCCGACUCGACCAAGAGCUGAAGCUGAUCGGCGAAUACGGGCUCCGGAACAAACGAGAGGUCUGGAGGGUCAAGUUUACGCUGGCCAAAAUCCGCAAGGCCGCCCGGGAGCUGCUGACGCUAGACGAAAAGGACCCGCGGCGUCUGUUUGAAGGCAAUGCCCUGCUGCGGCGACUUGUCCGCAUUGGGGUGCUGGAUGAGGGCAAGAUGAAACUGGAUUACAUCCUGGGCCUGAAGAUCGAGGAUUUCUUGGAGAGGCGCCUGCAGACCCAGGUCUUCAAGCUGGGCUUGGCCAAGUCCAUUCAUCAUGCUCGUGUGCUGAUCCGCCAGCGCCAUAUCAGCCCUUGGAGGUGGCGGGUGUGAGUUCACCUGGAGGGUACAGAUUCACCCCUGCAAAUAACUCAGAGGGAGCUGGGGGCAUCCUCAUCCCCCCAUAGCCCAGCGCAAGGGUCACUGCGGCUCUAGCCGUAUACCUUGUGAAGGCCUCUGCCAGCAUGUGGGCAGCUGGACAGGGUCCGCAAGCAGGUUGUGAACAUCCCGUCCUUCAUUGUCCGCCUGGAUUCCCAGAAGCACAUUGACUUCUCCCUUCGCUCUCCAUACGGGGGUGGCCGCCCAGGCCGCGUGAAGAGGAAGAAUGCCAAGAAGGGCCAGGGUGGGGCGGGAGCUGGAGAUGAUGAGGAGGAGGAUUAAGCCCAUCCAGGAGCCCUUCCUGGGCUGGUGAAUGGUCUAGAUUUACAGUCAGAUAAUAAAAGAAGAUCAACACUUU